CCUGUCCAUCUAACAAAUGAUAUAAACAAAUUAGUAGCUAAUUUAUCAAAUAAUAAUAUUAAUAAGAAGCGAGAAUAUGCGAGGAAAUUAACAAAAAAAAUAAAUAAAUUAAUUGACCACGAUUACUUUAAUCCUAGCGGCUACUGGAGUGGGUUAUCAUUUCUCGGAGCGAUAUAACUCAACCGACAAUAUCCCCAAACUUGUAACAGAAAAUGACAUCCAGAUAGUGCUUUUAUAUUUGGGUGUGAUGCCUCACACAAGCCACGAUAAAGGUAAGCCAAAACUGCCGAUCCCCAACUAUAAUUUCUUGUUUCAUUAAAAUCCAUUAACAAAUACAACCAAGAGUUGUGCACAAAUAAUCCAGUUGUAUUAGGAAACAAGAACCCUCCAAAGAGGUAUAGUAGGUACCUCCUGUGUGUUGUAUUUUUACCUCCGGAGGAGAUUGUUCACUGAAGUUAUUAUCGACCAGAUUAUCCUUUAAUCACGACAACGAGAGAGUAAAACCAUCAGUUUUGUGUGCUGGAGGAGUUAUUCCCAACAAUUGAGCACAAUUAUUCCACAGAAGAUUUGGAGGAGCCGUAACAAUUGGUCCUCCAAAAGGUAAGCCGAGUAAAAUAUAUACGUCUUCAAACGUGAUUGUACAUUCACCCGUUCGAAAAUGAAAAGUAUGUGUUUCGGACCGCUAUCUUUCUACAAGAGUGGUUACGAUGUGCCUAUCAAUUUUGUAACGCCCUAUUUGAGAAACCUCAAAAAAUCCAGCUUGACGUAGAUAAUCUUCAAUAUAAGGACUUGGUAUGAUGUUUUGCCGUGUACGAGUGGUUAGAGGUGCACCCUCUGCAUCCUAACAAAAAAUAAUAAAGGAAUAAAAUUAAAACAUAAUCAAAAUAUAAAUUUAAAAAAACGUGAACAUAUUUAAAUUAAUAUUAAAAAAUAAAAAUGACAUUAACAAAUUAAUAUCUAUAUAUACCCAUCUUCUUAUAUGUUCUUCCAUGGAUCUAUGAUCAUUUUCCAACCACAAGUAUGCCAUUGCUUUAUAGAAUUUGAUUGAAAUAAUCUCUUAUGUGAGUGAGUAAGGAAAGGAUUGAGAUAAGUAGAAUAUGUGUAAAGAGUAAAAAUAUAGUUGUGGUAUUUAUAAUGUAAAACUAUGUGUAAAUGGUAGAAGUAGUAGUGUGGUAUUUUAAUCAAUGAAGUGAAGAGUUCCUGUGUUACUACUGCAACGCAUGCAAGCCAACAGUGUUCAAAUAAACAUAGAAAUGACAAUUGCAUCAAUAGCAGAAGCAUGGUGUUCAACAAUAUUGAAUUAAUUCGUAAACUUUGCCUCAUGAGAUGACCAUUGCAUGUAAAAAAUACAUUAAUUUCUUGCAAGAAAUUUUUGACUGAAAUGACCAAUGCAUGUUUUGAUCACGUGAAGCAUGCUAGCAAACAAAUGGCCGACAAGCUGCCUCUGAAUAACCAAUAGGAACGGCGCGUGCAAAUACUACCCCGCCACUCUGGGUUGCGUGGUACCCCCAGCUGGCGCAUGCUUUACAUACCCCGCCACUCCAGCUUGCGUGGUACCCCCCAGCUGGCGCGUGCUUUACCUACCCCGCUACUCUAGCUUGCGUGGUACCCUCUAGCCCGCUAGUCCAAACUGCGUUGUACCUUUUUUAAUUUUCCCGCUCGAAGGGCAGAUUAAAUUACAUGUUAGUAUAAAUAAAAGUGGUCUGCAUGAUAUCAUUGUAUCAAACCAUUCUACUUCAUACUCUUACUCAUUUCUUAAGAUCAAACCAAUUCAAUGGCACCAAAUAUAAACGUUUUUGUGUACUAUAAUGGAGAAGUUAAACAAAAUGAAUCCGGUAUUUUUUUUCAAAGUCAGUAUACCAAAGGUUUUAAAGUCAGCAUGGCUAGUACUUACUUGCAUCUCAAAAGAAGAAUUGCGGAAAAAGUAUGUCUCGAAGAUAAUAUGGUUGUGUCUGAAAUUAUGUGUCGGAAUCCUAUGUUUGUUGGAACUACCACAAUUCAUUACCAGGCGUUAAGAAUAACUGAUAACGACGAUGUCGAGUUUAUGUUUAACGUACAUAAAAGUCACAGUUCUUUGUCCUAUAUAGAGCUUUAUGUUACGUUUGAGAUGAAGAAUCCAACAUCUAAUUUUGAGUUAAAUUACCCAUCGAGUUCUAGUCAACACCAAAGUCUACCACAACACUACAAUCCGUCAUCGUCGCAAGAACACUACAACCCAUCAUCGUCCCAACCGCACUAUAACCCGUCUCCCAUUUAUGAUGCAUCCUUAUCGCAACCUUUUCAGUCAAAGUGGUCACAAAAUGUGUACGAACCAUCACAAAUAAUAACUCAACCUCAUCCCUCUCAAACACCAUCUCGUUCAACACAACCCAAAACCUUAAACGAUGAAAUCAAUAUAUUCACCUCCCAAUUUCAAGACCAACCAAAUGAUGAAGUUCAAGAUGAUGAAGACGAUGAUGAUGAAGAACUCCUUGCCGCACAAAACGGUGACGAGAACGAAGAAGACGAAGACGACGAUCUGCCACUACUACCAAUUUUACCAAUCAGAGCUUCUUACAACCCACCAAGGUCCAUGCGCAACGUCAAUGAUGACCACUCAACUGAACUUUAUCAUUCAAUGGCUCUUCCGGUCGAUCAAGGUAUUGCCCUAGGGAUGCAAUUUCAUAACAAGAAUGAUUGCAUUCUCGCAAUUAAAUUUUAUCACAUGAAAAAAUCAACGGAUUAUAUUGUGAAAAAAUCAGAUCCUGAAAGGUAUGUCAUCAAAUGUAAAGAUACAAAAUGUGGUUUCAAAUUGCGGGCCUCGUGGAGGAAAAAAACUGAUAAAUGGGAGAUUGGGAAAAUGAAUGAUCAUACAUGUGUCUCAACAGAAAUGACGCAAGAUCAUCAUAAACUUAGUUACAAUGUGAUAUGUGAAAGUGUUAAAUCACUACUACAUAUGGAUACUUCAAUUACAGUGAAGGUUAUAAUUGCACACAUCCGAGAGAAGUUUAAUUACACAGUUUCAUACAGAAAGGCAUGGAGAGCACGGAAUAAGGCGAUUAAAUCAAUUUAUAGUAAUUGGGAGGAGUCUUAUGAAGAACUACCACAAUGGUUGAUGGUCAUGGAAAAAGAUUUGCCAGGAACAAUAAUUGAUUUUCAAACGGACCCAUCAACAGAAGUGGCAAAUGAGACCGUCUUCAAGCGUCUUUUUUGGGCCUUUCGUCCGUGCAUCUCAGGUUUCGAAUUCUGCAAACCAAUUGUCCAAAUUGACGCAACUUGGUUGUAUGGUAAAUACAAGGGAACAUUGUUGUUAGCUGUUGCGCAAGAUGGGAACAACAAGAUAUUUCCCAUAGCUUUUGCAAUCGUGGAAGGCGAGACCAAGGAGGCAUGGAGUUUCUUUUUGAAAAAUUUAAGGCAGCAUGUCACCCCACAAGAGAACAUAUGCCUCAUUUCUGAUAGACAUGUGUCGAUAAAGAGCGCGUAUGAUGAUCCACAGAAUGGAUGGCACGAUGCUCCGACAAGCCAUGUUUAUUGUGUCCGACACAUUGCACAAAACUUUAUGAGAUCAUUCAAGGAUGGAGAACUAAAGAAGAAAGUUGAAUGCAUGGGUAAAAAUCAUAUCUCUUUCCACGUAAAUUCGACAUUUUAUUUGUUUAAAAUGACACAUCUAACUUUUUUCAAAACAAUGCAGGUUACGCCAUGAACAUCCCUACAUUCGAAUACUACCGUUCUGAAAUUGCUGUUGCAGACCGAAAGGCUUUAGCAUGGGUCGACAAUAUUCCCAAACAAAAGUGGACUCAAUCACAUGAUGAUGGUCGACGAUGGGGCCAUAUGACAAGUAACUUGGUAGAGUCACAAAACAACGUGUAUAAGGGUAUUCGAGGACUUCCGAUCACAGCUAUCGUGAAAGCAUCAUAUUACAGGUUGGCGGCCUUGUUUGCUAAAAGAGGACAUGAGGCAGCGGCAAGGGUAAAUUCUGGUGAGCCAUUCUCAGAAAACAGCAUGAAAUAUCUCAGGAAUGAGGUGAUUAAAUCCAACAGUCAUCAUGUCACACAGUUUGACCGGGAUCGGUAUACCUUUUCCGUCCGUGAAACCAUCGACCAUAAAGAAGGAUUGCCAAAGGGAGAAUACAAGGUGGACCUGCAAAAUAAAUGGUGUGACUGUGGACGAUUCAGAGCGUUACACCUACCAUGCUCACAUGUCAUUGCCGCAUGUUCUAGCUUUUCUCACGACUACAAGACUUUUGUCGAUAACAAAUUCACGAAUGAGUGUGUAUACGCCGUAUACAACAUCCACUUCGACGUGGUUCACCACCAGACAUAUUGGCCUAAUUAUGAAGGACUGAAGGUGGUUCCCAACAAGUCCAUGUGUAGGGUAAAGAAAGGUCGUCCACCAAUUACUCGCAUUAGGACCGAGAUGGACGAUGUGGAAACUGAGAGAAGAUGCGGCGUUUGUAGGAUGCCUGGUCAUUCCCGCAAAGAUUGCAUUAAUAUUAGACACCAGUAAAAAUCUAGUCUUUAUUUCGUUUGUAGGAUGUAUGGUCAUUUCCACAAAUAAUUGUAGAUUUUAUGGUAUUUUAUUGGUUAUAUAAUUUUAAUUAGUUUUUUAUUAUUUGAGAGUAAUUAUUACACGUUGAAUUUUUAUUUUUUUUUGUCUUCAUUAUACCACUAUACUCCAAGUAUUUAAAUUUUUUUUUAAAAAAAGCAAAAGCUAAAACGCAAGUCCAACUUGCGGGGUAGUAAAAAAAGUGGAAAAAAAAAAGGAAAGUACCCCGCAAGUCCAAGUAACGGGGUACAAUAAGGACAAAAAAUUUGUGACUUUUUAGGGUACCCCACAACUCCAAGUGGAGUGGUACCAGGGGCUUAUGAAAAAGUAGGGCAUUUGCGCAAUUUUUCGAAAAAGUGGGGCAUUUUUUUAUUAUCUUUGCAUAAACAAAGGCAGAAAAAAAAAAUUCUACUUUCUCCCCACGUUUUCUCAAAAUUUGUUUCUAAAAUAAUAAUAAAAAAAGAAAUAGUUAUUUCAGAAAGAGAAACCGUGUGAUAUUUUUUAAUUAGUGUACACCUACACUUCUCAUGUGCCUAUAAAUAAGAUGCUUAGUUGAACAUAAACUCACACUACAAAACUCUCCUCUCUCUAAAAAAUCAGGUUAGUUCUCUCUCUCUCUCUCUCUCUCUCUCCUUUUCUGAACUUUCUCUAUUCAAUCUAUAGUCAUUCUUUAUUCUUUUGAAAGAGACAAGAUUUACUACUAAAAUAACCUCAGAUUUGGUCCCCACAACCCUUCUUUUGGGAAGAACAACAACAUAGUAUACCCUUCUUUUGGGAAGAACAACAACAUAGUAUUAGAAUGUUCUUUUAUCAGAUGAGAAAGUGACAGUAGUUUAGUUCUUUUCAACCUAAUCAAACCAUGAAAAUAGUUUAGCUCUUUUCAACCAUUCUUUUUCAACAGAAACAUCAUUCAAUAAAAUAAAAUAAAGAGAUCUCAGAUCUGUUUUAGACUUUUAGUAGAAAAAAUUACACGAUUUAAUUAUUGUAUUUUUUAUACUGAUACAAACUAUGAAGAUUGAAACAAAGUUCAUAAGAAAGUUGAGAUCUUGUUUAAUUCAUAUUUUUAGUUUAAAGAAAAAUAAAGAAAUGAACAUUGUUUUAAGAAUGACGUAAUGACUAUUAAAUGGCUUUUAAACAUUCUGACUAUAUAAAAAGGUAGUAACAUAAGUUUCAUUUGAAAUAAAAUAAAAUCAAGCUAUUAUUAAAAUAUAUCUAAUAUAAUCUGAAGAAAAAAAAAGGACGUGAUACAGAGAAACAAAGGAAUUAGAAAACUUUAACUCGUUAUCUCUAUUAUUAUGACCUUGAUAAUGACUAUAGUCUAAUAGAUAGUUUAUUUUGGGUGAGUAUUCUAGGUGAUAUUGGAGCUGCUUUCGACGGAAACAAUAUUGCAACCACUUGCGAAGAAUCCGAAGGUAAGGGGAAUUACUACUAAUAAAUUUUAAAGAUUUUGCAUAAGUUAUGUGCUUAAGUGAUUAUAUGUGAGUAAAUAACUCUACUUGUGAGAGUUAAUUUCUCGAUGAUGUGGUAAUUUCUAGCGAUCAAGUACAUGUCAAAGGACAUCGACUUAUAUGUGUUUUAGUUAAUAUAAUUAGGAGUUUUUGAAAAUAUAAUACAUAAGUAGAAGAAAAAGUUUUGUAAAUGAUGAAUUGAUUAGAUAGUUAUAUUAUGUUUAUUUGGUAUUACUCUUGUGUAAGUGAAUGAGCAUAUGAAUUUCAAUAAGUGUUAACUGAUUUCGAUGAGUGAAAUUAGUUGGAAAUAUAUGAUUUAAAGUGUCAAUUAUGAUUCGACGCGAUAAUUUAUAAUGUUAAUCAUGAUUAAAAACUUCUCUAUAAAAAGAAAUGAUCUAAGAGAGAUAGUUGUAUCCCACCUCAUUAAUUUUAUGGUAUCAACUCAUAGGUAUGUUGUAAAGGAAAGAAACUUAAGAAUGCCAAACUAUGAUCACUAACUUAGUACGUAGACAUAGUAUAUAUAGUUAUAUUGUACGUGUAGGAAAUUCUUUAAAACAAAUGUAUAUGUGCUUUUUAACUAGGCAACAUGAAUUAUUCUUUGUUAAAAUCUCAUGAAUAAAAAGAACAUGUACUAGUUUAAUUGAAUUACCUAAGUUCUUACUUACUGCUGAAAUUUCUAUGCUUAUAAAUAAAUGAAAAAGAACAUAUGCUGGUCAUUAAUUGUUCAGUUAUUAUGUACUGGCUUGAUUUACUUGCUGGAAUUUCUAUGCUUAUACAUAAAUGAAGAGGGACAUAUGCUGGUUAUUAUUUGUUGAGUUAUUAUAUACUGGUUUGAUUUACAUCACUGUACUAAUUGAAUAAAAUUCUGAUGUGGCUAAUCAAUUUUAUAAACAUAAAUGGUUAAUUGUUUGACAUUGUUGAGUUGAAUAUGAGUGUUUUGUCUUGUCUAGAAAGUAGGGACAAUUAAGGAGCUAUAACAGGUCCCUAUACACUCAGGUGUAGAUGAGAAUGAGGAUAGUUAUGGUUUGGUUACUUUGAGGAUCUAUCGAGGGCACUUGUGUUUCGAACGCCUAUCAAUAGUUGGGGAUUGCUUCCCGGCUGAAAGUACUCGUACUACCAGACACGGUGAGCCUGAAAAAACUAGACUAUCUAUGAUAAGGUAGUGCGAUCGGACUAGAAUGAUUAGAGUUUAAGCAUAUCUUGCUCAAAAUACUAAUAAUCAUGAUAUAGUUGCCGAAACGGCCUUAUGCUCAUUAGAGUGGAACCUCCAUGGAGUAGUGAAUUAUGAGAAGAAAAUAAACUAGAGUCAAGAAAAAAAAAGUCAAAAGAGUUCAUGCAUGUGUCAUGUUGAAUGUCAAACUAUUAAUUCAAAUUGGACCUCUUAAAAGAUAGUUUUUUUUUUUUUUUUUUUAUAAUAUGCUUUGUGAUUGUUGUUGGACAGUGAAUGAAAAGAAAAUAUUAUAUCUAUGUAAAUAUCAUUUUACCUUGCUGUAUAUAUAUUAUUUUCUUUUUCCUUAUGUAAUAAAUCACGUGGAAAACUUGUGUACGAGUAAUUCACCCUUCUUUGUUUGUUUUUGUAUCUUGUUGUUUUUUUUGGGUAUGUUCGGACGUUUUUAUAGAUGAUGCCAGAAAGACAUUUAGCUCACUCGGGAACCCGCAUGAUCGAGUUCCUUGAGGUAUUUUCUUUUGCAACACUUAUUAAAGAAGAAAGUAAUAAUAAAUCAAAACACUCACACAAAGACGCCUCAAGACUAUUGGAAUCACCCUAUCGUAUCAAAAGCUCAUGAAUAUCCAUAAGUAAAAACUUCUCCAAAAAGAACACCAUACCCUACUCAUAGGGUGCCAUCUUAUUAAAAUCAUACCCCAUCACUGCAAUCGGAGCAAUGAUCCAACAUAAAGGAAACUUUGGUUUUCCUUCCACCAUCACCAACGAAGUUGAGCCCUCAGGCUCUCCUUGCACCCUAACAAACGAAUCACACCAAUCCUUCUUAAAGUUAGAAGCAUAAGGAGGGAAAAGUUUUUUACUAGGAUAGGCACUAAUUGAAACCCACAUUCCCUUGUUUACAUCUUUCGUCCUAUAAAAAUGGAAGAAGACGCCAACAGAAGGCUCCAAACUCAUCCUUACAAAGUAGUUUGAAUCCACGAAUAAACGCCUAGCUAUUAGGACGUAUUUGCGAAGGCGCCACAUUCAGAAACUUUAGCACAUCCAUCUCAAAAUCCGUAAAGGGUCGUCACCCCAAACUCUUCCAACACCGUCAUAUACAUAAGAAAGGAAUCAUCCCUGACACCCUCCAAACGCUGAUCGCACACUCUCUCGCCUACAUCACAGGGCGACACUGUCACAUCUUUCUCGUUCUCAGUAGCAGAAGUAUCCAUCUUGUUUCAGAAUAAAUUGAUAUCCGAAGGCGACAUAUAUGAAAACACCGCUCGAAGAACUUCUUCAGCUAAAUGAUUCAUCUCCAACUCAUAAGAAUACGUCAAACACAUAAUCUCUUUUUGAGUAGACGGAAGAGGCAUAUAAUGACAAAUCUCUUGACAAGUUUUCCCCCUACGACAAAUCACUAUCACUACCAUUAGAGCUAUCGCUACUAGUGUUGCUAUCAUUGGACAAUUCCCCUAAAACCCUACGAUAAAAAAGCCCUAAUUCGUAAGCUUCCCAAUCAAUCAAGUCAUUAGGAUGUGUUGCAUGUCUUAAAGAAUCUCUCCUCAGUUGGUCUCUCUCAUCAAAAUUCGUAGGAGAGAAGGCGAAAAAUGAGAGAAGGAAAAUGGAAGAGUACUUGAGAAGAUUGAAAACGUGAGCUUAGAAAUCCAGACAAUCAGCUGGCAAGUGCGCGAAUACGGAGAACUAAAAGGCGAAAAAUGCGGAAGUGAAAUGAGGAAAGGAAGGAAAUGAAGGGUCAAAGAGUUUUAGAGGACAACAACAAUUAAAACCCCCUCAAAAAACACGCUCAUCCUUGGCACGAUUGGAGACACGUGUCAAGAUACACCCAGAUUCGAACACGUCACUAUCAUCGAAAGGUCACACAUUUUGGACCAUACAAUCAUGUUAAAAAUGAAAGAUCUCGUCGAUAUAGAAUUUCAAAAAACUCGUUGCCAACUCCUCAAACAGGAAACUUACUCGCCGUGCUGUUACAAAUCACUUCGCCUUGUCCCAAGACUCGUGGUUGGGGGCUGUGAACAAACAUCAGGCAUAAAACGCAUGACUCGACUAGCACACACCCUAGGGGGCUCUAGGAUAAAGCAUAAUCACCCAAGGGGGACUCUGUAAGCUCCAACAACAACAUCCAAAGACAUACACAAAAAAUACUGAUAAACGUAAAAUAAAUUCCAAAUGCUAAUUAAUCAUUUCGCCUUGUCCCAAGACUCGUGCUUAGGAGGCUUUGGACCGUCAAUAUCUUCUUAAGGACCUAGAAGUCCUCCCAAAGGGCAUUUAGACCCUCCUAGAUGCCUAACACCCUUCAAAAGGGCUCUAAGGCCCAACACGCGCCCUUCCUAGGGAGCCGCCUCUACCAGCUUCUAAAACCUCCAAAGCUCGGCCUAAAUACCUAAUACGAUUACAAACCCUAAUACCUCAUUACGUAUAGCUUAAGAACCAUAAAUCAGGCCAAUAGAGGGCUAUAAAUACAACCUUUGAGAGCCUUCUGAAGGCAUGACCAAUACAUUACAAACCCUAAUACGAUUAUUGUACUUUUGCAAGUACAAUGAGGAAGGCGAUAUUGACAGGGAAAGUUUCCACCUAAUUUGGGCUAAAAACAUGGACUUUUGGGGGUAAAAAAGUCACAAAAAGUGACUUUUUUCGCAAGGAGCAGGGCGCCUAGCGCAUAAUGGCAUGCACCUAGCUCAUGUUCCUGCUAGGCUGAGGCGCCUAGUGCCCCUUUCAUGCGCCAGACGCUUCAGUUGUUUAGCUUAGGGGCACCUAUUGUGCACCUGGGUGCAUAAGUGCCUUUUCAGUGCCUUUUCAGUGCUGUUUUUCUUGUUUUCUUUGCCUUUUGAGGUGUUUUCUUCAAUGUAAGAUGUCUUGGAACUUGAGAACAAAAUUCCUUCCUUUGUAAAGACUUCUGAGGCAUCUUGAAUCUUCAUUAUUCAUCUUCCCAAGGUCCACAUAAAUCUUCAAAUGUCUUGCAUUGUCUGAUUUGCUUGAUUUCUUCGUGAAUUACUUCAACAACACCCUAAAAUUGCUAUUUUUCAGGAAGAAUAGAAUUACAAACUCAAUAUAAAAUACAUUACAAAUGUACCGAAAUCAUAGGCAAUUGAUCAAAUACUCUUCUUCUUUGCUGGUAAAACCUACUGAAAUUGACUGAAAAAUGUAACAGCCCUAUUUUCGUUAGAUUUAUUUUAAUUGUUUUAAUAUGUGUUUAUUUAUGCUUAUGUGUGAUUAUUAUCAUUGGGUGCAUUUUUAUGGGUUUUCGUGUUGGAAGGAUAAUUUAGUAAUUUCAUGUAAGGAUUAUUUUUAGUGUUUCAAGUGAGAACCAUUAUUUACUAAGUUACUAGUGUGGUAAUUAGUUGUGAGCCGGUAAGUGAUCGUUGUUAUUAUUUUACCGUUAAGGGAGUAGAAACAUUUUAGAAUUAGUGAAUUAGUGGGUUAAGCCCACUAAGGCAUUAGGGUUAAACCCAAUUGAGAAGAGCCUAUAUAAGUUCUAGAUUUUAGAGAAAAAUAGGUUUCCACUUCAUUUCAUAAGAAUUUUGAGAGAGGUAGAGAUAGAAAGUUCAAGAGAAGAGGAAAAUGGUUAGAAGGGAGAAAAGCUUGAAGACUCAAGAGGUGAUAGAGAUUCUAGGACCUAAAUUGAAGCUUUUGCUAGGAUUUUUGCUAAUUGAGGUAAGGGGGUUAGAUUUCAAUCAUAAUAACUUAGUUGUAGCUUUUACCCUAAUUUCAUGUAUAAAUGCUUAUUUGUAUAAAGUGAUUAUUAUGAAAUUAAUUGAUGAAAUUCGUGGUUAUGCUUUGAUGUGAUGUUUGGGUAUGUGAAAUUGAUGUUAAUUAAGUUGUUGAUGAAGAAUUUACAUGCUCAAGUUAUGUAUAUAUGUAUACUUGUGUUUUUGCUCAAAAUUGAUGAAGUAUAAUGUUAUUGUUGGUGAAUUGUUGAUGAAUUCACUUCUGAUUGUUGUUGUUGUGAUUGUGAGUAGUUGUUGUUGAUGAUUGAAACCUUGGGUAAUCUUAACCAUAGAGCUUGAAGUGAGUUUCUAUUGUUCUUGAAGUUUUCAUGAAAAAUAGGUCAAAUGGUAAUUUUGUUGAAAUUAUGUUGGAUUCAAGUUUUUAUAUGGAUUUGAGUGUCUUUUCAUGUUUAGACAAACUUUGGGAUCAAAUUUGGGUAUUGGGUCAAAAUUGGGAUUUUGGGGUGAAAAAUGAGUUUUUUUUUGUAGUAGAACUCCAGAAGCCUGUCACAACUCGCCAUGGCGAGCGGGAGGCGAGCAGGAGGUGCUUCCUGUGUGUUAACUCCCCAUGGCGAGUGAUUCACUCACAGGGCGAGCUGCACAGUGACAUCAUUCCCUGUUUCGCAAUCUUGCGUCUUUUUCACAUAUUUUUGUUUUGAAUUGGUCUUUGGUAUAAAUAUGAAAGUUUUAGAUAAUUGUGUUAGCUUUCCAGUGGCGUUGGUUUGACUUGAAAAUGAUUUUUGGUUUUUGAGUUAUGAUGAAAAUACUCCAAGGAGGUCUUAGUGAAAUUUUAUGAAAAUUCCGCAUAACUAUUUCUAAGUCAACCCAAAACUUAUGGAUUGUUUCCAAACUUCAAAACUUGUGUACUAUGAGUUAAAUUAAUGUGUUUAAGAGUAUUUAAGCUACGUUGUGGUGAAUUUAACUUGGUUUUGUUUUGAAAGUGAAUUGGUUUUACAUUAUGAGUAAAGCGAUACGAACUUUGCAAAACUUUGAAUUUAAGUGAGUUGGCCUAUGGGACCUUGAUGUAUACACUAUUGCACUCAUAUGUGAUUGGUGUAUAUACUUAGUUGAGGUUUCCAAAUGUGUUUACCUUGUUUUGUCGGAUAACUUGAAAAUUGGUAAAAUGAUACGAACUUGUCGUAACCUGUGAUUUUGAUGAUUUUGUCGUAGUAGGCCGGUGAAACGCACAUGUAUAUUCAACUACACUCAUAUGUGAUCUAAGUGUAUACAUAGUCGAGGCCCUAGAGUUUAUUUACUUGGUGUUAGUUCAUUUGUCUCAAUUAUUUUAAAGUUGUAAAAUGAGAGUUGAACUUUGUCAAAAAUGGUUCUUUAAAGCCAAUUACCUUAUAAAUCUUUUGUAGAUAACUUUAUAUGACUAAAUGAAGAUAUGUGAAUGAAUUUUUAAUUGUUGAAUAUGAUAUUAUCAUAAGGUGUUGCAUUUUCUCUUUACUUGGAAUAUGAUAAGUAUUUGGAAUGGUGGAACUAUACUAUAUGGUUGAUGUUGAUUAAUAUUUAUAUAUCAAUUGAUGUUGAUGAUUACUGAUAAUUAUGAUGAAAAUGUGAUGAUGACUCUUAAUUGGAUUAUGACUUUAUUGUUGUGUGGACGUAAAUAUUUGAUAAUGCAAUUGUUGUUGAUGUUAUCCUUUAUAUUGUUGUUGAAUAUUUAUGAGGUGAUUUUGCAUUGUCAAGUCUUUCCUUGUAUGUCCAUGCAUCAUAGUCAUGUUGAGUCUUGAUGUUGUAAAGGAGGGUUACUCUUUUACUUUGGUGAUAAUGUAAGACGGGUGUGAAAUUUUACAUAUGAUGUUUUUGUUGCAUCAUGUGUGACGACCUUGAGGUGAUUUGGUACCACAUGCAUAUAUGUGUCGGGAUUAGGCACAUAUCAUAUUGGCGUGAGUCUUAAUUGAUGUAUUUGAAUGAUGAUUGAUGAUGAUAAGUGUGUUUGAUGAAUACAUACUUGUGAUAUUUAGAAUUGUUGCAUGAAUGUGUAUAUGGAAGUUAAUUGCUCAUGAUUAAUUAAUUGAUACUUGAUUUGAUUCAUUUAUGUCUAACUAUUUAUGUGGAUUAUGAUUGUUGUAAAGCUUACCCCUAGUGGUUUUGACCACCUACCUGUCUAUAUGGAUGGGUAGACGAAGUGCAAGAUUAGUCGCUUUGGUGAGUUGCUUGGUGAUUGCUUAGAUAGAGGGAGUUAUCUCCGUUAUCGUUUCCUUAGAGUCUUAGGAUAGGCUCUGAUCUAGGAUGUAUGUCUUAUGAUUAUUCUAGAUUGUUUAUUUUGGAUUUAUUUGUGUUGUGGAGAUUUACCCAAUUGUCGGAAUUUGAAGAAUUUUUAUGUUGAUGUAUUUUGACCUCAUGGCAUGUAUACUUUUGAAGUGUAUGGUUUAUAUCCGCUGCAACGGUAUAGAAUUUUUAUAUAUGCUUGUUAUUUGAACAUUGUUGAUGAUGUGGCGUCUAUUUCUUGGAUAUUUAUAUUAUUCGCGUGUUUUAUUGCUUUAAUAGAAAUAGGGCGCUACAAAAAACAUGCUAAAAAUAACGUAAGAUGUCCUGUCAUCAUACAACGAUUGAGAAAAAGAUAAAGAUUGUCUAAUACCCAAGACUUCUUACAUAACUAUUUCAUCAAAGCAGAAUAGUUCAAAAACUGGAAGGUGUGGGUUUUCAUGACCUAGGAAUACAGGUAGCUCAAGUGAUGACAACAUAAUUUAUGGGAAAUAUGAGAAUCAUCAAGUCUGUGGUAAUGUCAAAUGGAUUCUCAAUCAGAAAAGAAUGCAGAACCUUUAUCCCAGACUUUCCCUCGAUCAUCCAAGAACCAAAUACCAAAGAUCUAGCAGACCUAGUGUCACAAGCUUCUGAAGAUCUAAUCUGACAUGGACCAUGCUCCUAGGGCAUGGACCAUGCACCUAGGGUAGGGUGCGUUUCACAGUCACAUGCGCCUAGGGCAUGGAGUGUGCUCCCUGAGAACUAAAAAAGUGUGGGGCAAAAUUGAUUUUUUUUCGACUUUUGUGUUGUUAUUUUAUGUUGUGAUUUUCUCAGAUUGGAGUGGAGGUAGGAUGUGAGAGUUCAACAGAUCACCAUUUGUAUGACUGAACAGACUAUUCAGAAAAUCUGAAUCAGUGUUUUGAUAAAUGGUUUAGCUAGAGGGUAAUGAUAUAGGUGGCGAAGGAAUAAUGAUGGAUGGUACUGAAGAAAUGUUAACAUAUUAUGUAAGCUCAAGAUCAAUACCUUUUGUAUUAUGAGAUUCUUCUGCUUUGCCUGGUGAGGUUGGCUCAACGGUAGCUGUUGUGAGGUUGGCUCAACGGUAGCUGCUUCUGUGACUAGCAUGCUGACUUCUUCUGCUUGCUUCUGUUGCUUCUCUUGGUUCUCACACUCAUCUACAUCGAUGAAUAUUAGAUGACACAAAUCUUCCUUAGCAUGUACAUUCUUCUUCCUUUCUGGUGAGGGAAUGAGUGAGUGAAUAGUACCAGAGUUCCUUGUGAGCUUGGAAAAAUCCGUUUUGUAGACAGAUCACAAAGUCACAUACUCUUAAUUUGUCUCUGAGUCGGUUUUGGAUUGCCUCGUCUUUUUGGGUGCUUGAGAAACUUUCUCAUCACCUUUCCUCUUAACCUCGACUUUCUUUAACUUCUUUGUUGGAGGAGAUGUUGUGACUUUGGAUGAUUUCCUCUUAUUCUUCUUGUUGUCUGCAGUUUCUGAGUCACCAGGAGUUUAAUCCGGAAAGAACUAAUCCGCAACUAAUUACUAAUAUUUUUCAUUGAAAAAAAAUAAUUUUAAAUAAGACUGGUACCUUGGUCUGUUGUAAAUUUGUAAGAACUAAUUUGACAGACAAUGAUAUAACUCAAAGACUAAUUUAUUUGUAAGUGCAAUAAUUUUGUUACUAAUUUUUGACCGUAAAUAACACACAAGUUAGCAGAAGGACCAAGUUGUUCAAUAUAAUUCAAAAUGUGAUUGUUUUUGCCAUGGCAUCCCCCAGUUUUUCUAUAAUUACACAAGAUUCCCUUUGUCUCGAUGGUUAGGAAGUACAAUUUUCUUUUGGAUGUCUCGUGUCUGAGUCCUAAUUCCCCUCAUUUUUAUAUUUCUAUUAUAUUAUAUUUUAAAUUUUAUUAAAAAAAUGUUCUUGAGGGGGAAUCGAACACGCACCACUACACUGAAUUCUAGCAAAAAACUGACCCCUAGACCGGUUACUGAUCUGAAGAAUAUUAUGAAACAACUAAACAUAUAUUCCAUAAAUUUUGGCACCCCCAAGAUAAAAACUCAAGAUCCGCCAUUGCCUAACUCAAGGUCCUAAAUACGCCACUACCAUUAACUAUAAUUAAUAAGAGUGUUUUAGAAAAUGAAACAUAUUUUGAACAUAUUUCUUAUCAUUUCUUUAACAAUUAUGUAAAACUCAAAAGGAACCCUUAAUUUGAGACAGAGGAUAUAUAAUAAUCGAUGAAGUUUAAUAUCUGCAAAAAAGUGUUAUUAAGUGAAGUAAACUUAACAAGGGUGACACUUGUUUUCUUUUGGUAAGGUGUGGGAGCACUCUUGACUGAGUUUCUAUUUUUUUUUUUUAUAUUCUUUUGAAAGUUGUAGUGGUGUAAUUGGGUGGUUAGUUGAAGUAAUUUUCGUUUUGGUUCUUGCUUGAUCUAUUUUGCAUUGUGAAAUUUCAAUUCUUAGUUUGCUUUCUACAUUGACGGAGUUGCUAAGUUGCAAUCAAACUUUUGAGUGUGUAUUAAUUAUAACAGUAAGAGUGUUGCUAGCACUACUCUUAUAUAAAAUCAGAUGUAUUUUUAAAUUUAUUUAUUUAUUUUUUUUUUUUUAAUUUCUACGAAAGUGGUGCACUUUUCCAUGAAUAUGCUUUUAGUGCAACUCCUUACCAAUGUAGUCAAACAAUUUCUUAAAACUCAUUGUUAUUAGUCAUUUCGAAACAAUGUAUUCACCAAGACAAAGGAGUGGGUGGAAGGAUAAUGGGUGCAUGCACAAUCAAGAAAAAGUUAGGUGAACAUUACAAUCAAAAUAUAUAGCAUAGAGCAUCAAAAUUUAUCGUAUGAAACAAUGUUUUUCUAAAAUAUGAAUGUGAACAAAUAACCCUUCAACUCAUAAGAUGAUCUUUAAUAUAUAGAAUUAGAAAGUUAGAGUAUCAGUACACCGAAAUUUAUAUAUUCAAAAGUGAGGCGUAGUUGGUUUUCCUCUUUAUGUAGUAUAGUUCGGUUUUUCCAUUUUAUUAUGGUACUUAUUCCUAUCAAAUUGAUAAAUCAGCUUUAUCUUAUAAUUGAUUUAACUAAUGAUGACUUGAACAUCAAUAUUAUAUAUUCGGAUAUACGAGUACUUCAUCGUGCUCUUAAUUUAGAGAUGUUUUGAGUUUGUUUACAAAUUGAAUCUUUGAAUUUUAGACAUAGAACUUGUACUCUUUUAGAUAUAAUAUACCGAUUUGAAUGGAUAAAUACCGUAAUUCCAAACAUAUAUUUUUUUUUCACACACAUACCUCAUCCAUUACGAAACGCAGGAACUAAAGCUAUAUAAUAUAGUGAAGCUAAUUUAAUAAAAAAUAUAUAUAUUUGGUGAUGCUAAACUCAGUCUAACUUAAUGCCAGUUCAAAAGGAACACUGUGGUAUGGAGGAAUUCUUUGUUUUGCAUUUAUAAAUGGCAACUAUACCCUAUUAAUCAUCAUCAUAAAAAUAAUUUUUAUAAUGUAUGAGACCAAGUUUCACGUCUCUAUUAUUUUUCAUCAUUUUUUAGAAUUGUACGAUCUUGUACCAGAUCUUCGUUUAGUUAUGAUGAUAGCAACCACUCUCACUGAAAAAUUAUAUAAUAACAUUUUUUUGGCAUAUUUAAUUACUGAUCCUGUCGGUGUAUUAUUGUAAAAUUAGGCAAUUUGUCCAAUCAAUUCACACAUAAUUUCAAACCUGGCAACUAUAUAAAAACAAAAUCAUAGGUAAAUAAUGUAGAAAAUCACCAACAACCCUUGAAUUUUGUUACAAGAAAGGGCCAAGUCAUCACCUUAUCAAGAUUGUGAGUGGAUUCACAAAGAUCACGACUAGUAUAAAAGGAGGAAGUCACUCUUGUGUUUUCUGCACCAAACUCAUAAGUCACUAACAUGGCUUCCUCAAACUUCCUAGUGCUGCUUCUUUUUGCUCUAUUUGCCAUUCCUCAGGGUCUUGCCAAUUAUGAGAAGCCUCCGGUUUACCAACCACCGGUGUAUAAGCCACCAGUUGAGAAACCCCCGGUCUACAAACCCCCUGUAGAAAAGCCACCAGUAUAUAAGCCACCAGUAGAGAAGCCUCCAGUUUACAAACCACCGGUGUACAAGCCACCUGUGUACAAACCCCCAGUAGUGAAACCCCCAGUCUACAAACCUCCUGUUUACAAGCCACCGGUGUACAAGCCACCAGUUUACAAACCACCAGUAGAGAAGCCCCCAGUUUACAAGCCACCUGUAUACAAACCCCCAGUAGUGAAACCCCCAGUCUACAAACCUCCUGUUUACAAGCCACCAGUUGAGAAGCCUCCAGUUUACAAGCCACCAGUAGUGAAGCCACCUGUUUACAAGCCCCCAGUCUACAAGCCACCAGUAGUGAAGCCACCUGUAUACAAGCCUCCAGUCUACAAGCCACCCGUUUACAAGCCUCCAGUUGAGAAGCCUCCGGUCUACAAGCCACCUGUUUACAAGCCCCCAGUUGAGAAACCUCCAGUCUACAAGCCACCGGUUUACAAGCCUCCAGUCGAGAAGCCACCAGUUUACGGACCUCCUCACCACCCAUAGGACUCUCGGAUG
RNAcentral lists this long non-coding RNA (17580 nucleotides) under Medicago truncatula (barrel medic). Its description in RNAcentral is "long non-coding RNA (MTRU_LNC001595)". The record is from RNAcentral. Lineage: Eukaryota; Viridiplantae; Streptophyta; Magnoliopsida; Fabales; Fabaceae.